CCUACGGGAGGCAGCAGUGAGGAAUAUUGCACAAUGGGCGCAAGCCUGAUGCAGCGACGCCGCGUGGGUGAAGAAGGUUUUCGGAUCGUAAAACCCUUUUCUGUGUGACGAGCAAGGACGGUAGCACAGGAAUAAGUCUCGGCUAACUACGUGCCAGCAGCCGCGGUAAAACGUAGGAGACAAACGUUAUCCGGAGUUACUGGGCGUAAAGGGCGUGUAGGUGGUUAAGUAAGUCUGGCGUGAAAUUUUUCGGCUUAACCGGGAAAGGUCGUCGGAUACUGCUAAACUAGAGGACGGUAGAGGCGUGUGGAAUUCCGGGUGUAGUGGUGAAAUGCGUAGAGAUCCGGAGGAACACCAGUGGCGAAGGCGACACGCUGGGCCGUACCUGACACUGAGGCGCGAUAGCAUGGGGAGCAAACAGGAUUAGAAACCCUGGUAGUCCAUGCCGUAAACGAUGCUAGCUGGGUGUUCAGGGUGGGAAACCACUCGGGGUACCGAAGUCAACACGGUAAGCUAGCCGCCUGGGGAGUACGGUCGCAAGAUUAAAACUUAAAUGAAUUGACGG
Molecule: ribosomal RNA, 565 nt
Filed under: uncultured bacterium
Lineage: Bacteria
Description: bacterial SSU rRNA
Rfam family: Bacterial small subunit ribosomal RNA
Source: RNAcentral